GUUGUAUAGUCAAGUAAUUAAGUGCAUGUGGUGGAUGCCUUGGCAGUCAGAGGCGAUGAAAGACGUGAUAGCCUGCGAAAAGCUCCGGGGAGGCGGCAAAUAUCCUUUGAUCCGGAGAUGUCUGAAUGGGGGAACCCACCUACUUUAAGGUAGGUAUUGCAACAUGAAUACAUAGUGUUGCAAGGCGAACGAGGGGAAGUGAAACAUCUCAGUACCCUUAGGAAAAGAAAUCAAUUGAGAUUCCCUCAGUAGCGGCGAGCGAACGGGGAUCAGCCCAUUAAGUUAUGUGUGUUUUAGUGGAACGCUCUGGGAAGUGCGAACGUAGAGGGUGAUAUUCCCGUACACGAAAGGGCACACAUAAUGAUGACGAGUAGGGCGAGGCACGUGAAACCUUGUCUGAAUAUGGGGGGACCAUCCUCCAAGGCUAAAUACUCCUGACUGACCGAUAGUGAACCAGUACCGUGAGGGAAAGGCGAAAAGAACCCCUGUGAGGGGAGUGAAAUAGAUCCUGAAACCGCAUGCAUACAAGCAGUGGGAGCACCUUCGUGGUGUGACUGCGUACCUUUUGUAUAAUGGGUCAGCGACUUAUAUUCAGUAGCAAGGUUAACCGUAUAGGGGAGCCGUAGAGAAAUCGAGUCUUAAUAGGGCGUUUAGUUGCUGGGUAUAGACCCGAAACCAGGCGAUCUAUCCAUGAGCAGGUUGAAGGUUGGGUAACACUAACUGGAGGACCGAACCCACUGUCGUUGAAAAGCCAGGGGAUGACUUGUGGAUAGGGGUGAAAGGCUAAUCAAGCCUGGUGAUAGCUGGUUCUCCCCGAAAGCUAUUUAGGUAGCGCCUCGGACGAAUACCAUAGGGGGUAGAGCACUGUUUCGGCUAGGGGGUCAUCCCGACUUACCAAACCGAUGCAAACUCCGAAUACCUAUGAGUACUAUCCGGGAGACAGACUGCGGGUGCUAACGUCCGUAGUCAAGAGGAAAACAAUCCAGACCGCCAGCUAAGGCCCCAAAAUCAUAGUUAAGUGGGAAACGAUGUGGGAAGGCAUAGACAGCUAGGAGGUUGGCUUAGAAGCAGCCACCCUUUAAAGAAAGCGUAAUAGCUCACUAGUCGAGUCGGCCUGCGCGGAAGAUGUAACGGGGCUAAAACUAUGUGCCGAAGCUGCGGAUGUAUACUUUGUCAAGUGGUAGGGGAGCGUUCUGUAAGCCGAUGAAGGUGUAGUUGAGAAGCAUGCUGGAGGUAUCAGAAGUGCGAAUGCUGACGUGAGUAACGACAAAACGGGUGAAAAACCCGUUCGCCGAAAGACCAAGGGUUCCAGUCCAACGUUAAUCGGGGCUGGGUGAGUCGACCCCUAAGGCGAGGCCGAAAGGCGUAGUCGAUGGGAAAAUGGUUAAUAUUCCAUUACUUCUGUGUAAUGCGAUGAGAGGACGGAGAAGGCUAAAUCAGCCUGGCGUUGGUUGUCCAGGUGAAAGGAUGUAGGCAUGUAUCUUAGGCAAAUCCGGGGUACUCUAUGCUGAGAUCUGAUAGCAAGCUGUACUUGUACAGCGAAGUGGUUGAUGCCAUGCUUCCAGGAAAAGUCUCUAAGCUUCAGUUACACAGGAAUCGUACCCGAAACCGACACAGGUGGUCAGGUCGAGUAGACCAAGGCGCUUGAGAGAACUCUGCUGAAGGAACUAGGCAAAAUGGUACCGUAACUUCGGGAGAAGGUACGCUGUUGUUGGUGAUGGAACUCGCUUCCUGAGCUGACGACAGCCGCAGAAACCAGGCCGCUGCAACUGUUUAUUAAAAACAUAGCACUCUGCAAACACGAAAGUGGACGUAUAGGGUGUGAUGCCUGCCCGGUGCUGGAAGGUUAAUUGAUGGGGUUAGCGUAAGCGAAGCUCUUGAUCGAAGCCCCAGUAAACGGCGGCCGUAACUAUAACGGUCCUAAGGUAGCGAAAUUCCUUGUCGGGUAAGUUCCGACCUGCACGAAUGGCAUAAUGAUGGCGGCGCUGUCUCCAGCAGAGGCUCAGUGAAAUCGAAAUCGCUGUGAAGAUGCAGUGUACCCGCGGCUAGACGGAAAGACCCCGUGAACCUUUACUGCAGCUUGACACUGAACUUUGACCUUACUUGUGUAGGAUAGGUGGGAGGCUUUGAAGCUGGAACGCUAGUUCCAGUGGAGCCGUCCUUGAAAUACCACCCUGGUAAUGUUGAGGUUCUAACUCUGUCCCGUGAUCCGGGACGAGGACCGUGUCUGGUGGGUAGUUUGACUGGGGCGGUCUCCUCCUAAAGAGUAACGGAGGAGUACGAAGGUGCGCUCAGCGUGGUCGGAAAUCACGCGUAGAGUAUAAAGGCAAAAGCGCGCUUAACUGCGAGACCCACAAGUCGAGCAGGUACGAAAGUAGGUCUUAGUGAUCCGGUGGUUCUGUAUGGAAGGGCCAUCGCUCAACGGAUAAAAGGUACUCUGGGGAUAACAGGCUGAUACCGCCCAAGAGUUCAUAUCGACGGCGGUGUUUGGCACCUCGAUGUCGGCUCAUCUCAUCCUGGGGCUGAAGCAGGUCCCAAGGGUAUGGCUGUUCGCCAUUUAAAGAGGUACGCGAGCUGGGUUUAGAACGUCGUGAGACAGUUCGGUCCCUAUCUACCGUGGGCGCUGGAAAUUUGAGAGGAUCUGCUCCUAGUACGAGAGGACCAGAGUGGACGAACCUCUGGUGUACCGGUUGUGACGCCAGUCGCAUCGCCGGGUAGCUAUGUUCGGAAGGGAUAACCGCUGAAAGCAUCUAAGCGGGAAGCCUACCUCAAGAUAAGAUUUCCCUAGGACUUUAUGUCCUCUAAAGAGCCGUUCGAGACUAGGACGUUGAUAGGUUGGAUGUGGAAGCAUAGUGAUAUGUGAAGCUGACCAAUACUAAUUGCUCGUGAGGCUUGACUAUACAACACCCAAGCAGUUG
Molecule: ribosomal RNA, 2918 nt
Filed under: Acinetobacter baumannii
Lineage: Bacteria; Pseudomonadati; Pseudomonadota; Gammaproteobacteria; Moraxellales; Moraxellaceae
Description: 23S ribosomal RNA
Rfam family: Bacterial large subunit ribosomal RNA
Source: RNAcentral